AGAAUAUUAGUUAAAAAAUAACAUUUAAAUUGCAUUUAAAAAUUUUAUAUAAAUUAAAUAUUUUA
RNAcentral lists this transfer RNA (65 nucleotides) under Meranoplus bicolor. RNAcentral describes it as "tRNA-Ala". The record is from RNAcentral. Lineage: Eukaryota; Metazoa; Arthropoda; Insecta; Hymenoptera; Formicidae.